This 513-nucleotide ribosomal RNA is filed under the name uncultured bacterium. RNAcentral describes it as "bacterial SSU rRNA". It matches the Rfam family "Bacterial small subunit ribosomal RNA", at positions 10 to 522 of the family's 1533-position model. The record is from RNAcentral.
ACUUUGAUUAUGGCUCGGGAUGAACGCUGGCGGCGUGCCUAACACAUGCAAGUCGAGCGAGAAGCUUAUGAUUGAAUCUUCGGAUGAUUGAUUAAGUGGAAAGCGGCGGACGGGUGAGUAACGCGUGGGUAACCUGCCCCAUACAAAGGGAUAGCCACUGGAAACGGUGAUUAAUACCAUAUGAGAUCGUAGAGUCGCAUGACUUAGCGGUUAAAGAUUUAUCGGUAUGGGAUGGACCCGCGUCUGAUUAGCUAGUUGGUAAGGUAACGGCUUACCAAGGCGACGAUCAGUAGCCGACCUGAGAGGGUGAUCGGCCACACUGGAACUGAGACACGGUCCAGACUCCUACGGGAGGCAGCAGUGGGGAAUAUUGCACAAUGGGCGCAAGCCUGAUGCAGCAACGCCGCGUGAGCGAUGAAGGCCUUCGGGUCGUAAAGCUCUGUCCUCAAGGAAGAAAAAAUGACGGUACUUGAGGAGGAAGCCCCGGCUAACUACGUGCCAGCAGCCGCGGUA